AUGUGGGAGGAAUGCUUGCCUCAUAUUGAAUUUGCUUAUAAUCGUUCAUUGCAUUCUACUACUAAGAUGUGCCCUUUUGAAGUUGUGUAUGGUUUCCUACCUCGUGCACCUAUUGAUUUGUUGCCUCUUCCAUCUUCGGAGAAGGUUAAUUUUGAUGCUAAACAACGUGCUGAAUUGAUUUUAAAAAUGCAUGAUUUAACUAAGGAAACCAUUGAGCGCAUGAAUGCUAAAUAUAAACUUGCUGGAGAUAAGGGUAGAAAACAUGUUGUGUUUGCACCUGGAGAUCUUGUUUGGUUACAUUUGCGUAAGGAUAGAUUUCCUGAUUUGCGCAAAUCAAAGUUAAUGCCACGUGCUGAUGGUCCCUUUAAGGUGUUAGAGAAAAUAAAUGAUAAUGCAUAUAAACUUGAGCUGCCUGCAGAUUUUGGGGUUAGUCCCACUUUUAACAUUGCAGAUUUGAAGCCUUAUUUGGGUGAGGAAGAUGAACUUCCGUCGAGGACGACUUCAUUUCAAGAAGGGGAGGAUGAUGAGGACAUCAAUACAAUUGUUACACCCACAGCCCCUGCUGCUAUACAUACUGGACCAAUUACUAGAGCUCGUGCACGCCAACUAAAUUACCAGGAAACAGACCCUCGUGGUCAGGUUGAUCGGGCUCCGGCGUGGUCAAUAACCUCUCGGAGUUGGUUUAGCGAUUGCUAA
RNAcentral lists this ribosomal RNA (696 nucleotides) under Triticum aestivum (bread wheat). RNAcentral's name for it is "partial small subunit ribosomal RNA". The record is from RNAcentral. Lineage: Eukaryota; Viridiplantae; Streptophyta; Magnoliopsida; Poales; Poaceae.